GGAUUAGAUACCCUGGUAGUCCACGCAGUAAACGAUGGAUACUAGUUGUCGGGAGGGUUACCUUUCGGUGACGCAGCUAACGCAUUAAGUAUCCCGCCUGGGGAGUACGAUCGCAAGGUUGAAACUCAAAGGAAUUGACGGGGGCCCGCACAAGCGGUGGAGCAUGUGGUUUAAUUCGAUGCAACGCGAAGAACCUUACCUGGGCUUGAACUGCAUGGGAAGUAAUCAGAGAUGACUGCGUCCUUCGGGACUCAUGUAGAGGUGCUGCAUGGCUGUCGUCAGCUCGUGCCG
Molecule: ribosomal RNA, 291 nt
Filed under: uncultured bacterium
Lineage: Bacteria
Description: partial 16S ribosomal RNA
Rfam family: Bacterial small subunit ribosomal RNA
Source: RNAcentral